AGCAUUGAACAUUUUGCCUCCUCUGGGACUGAGAGGACUCACUUACCAAGGUGUGUCGGGGAAGAUGUGUCUGGCAGACCCCCAUCCCCCAUAAGAACCAAGAGAGGACCUCUGAUGCCAUGUCUUCCCUACCCCCUGACUCCUGAAGGGGAGGCAGUGCCCAGCUGUGAUCAUGUUAGAAGAGAAAGAUAUAAUAAAGACCUUACUUUUCUCUGGCCUUCCCACUGUGUCCUAGAACUCAAGCUAAUGGGAGUGUUUCUCCAAUCAGUUCUGAGCUCUCUCUGGAUAAAUAGGAUGACAAGGUCAUUUCUUCCUUUCUUCCUUCCUUCCUUCCUUCCUUCCUUCCUUCCUUCCUUUUUUCCUUCCUUUCUUCAUUUCUUCCUAACCAUUUGAGGUUUACUUUAUAUUGAUUUAUAAAUAUCAACCUCUUUGUGUAUUUUCUUCAUAACAUAAAAAAUGUAUUUUGACCAA
Long non-coding RNA from Myotis brandtii (Brandt's bat), 471 nucleotides. RefSeq lists it as uncharacterized. The record is from RefSeq and is a predicted model, not a curated record. Lineage: Eukaryota; Metazoa; Chordata; Mammalia; Chiroptera; Vespertilionidae. The transcript has 2 exons.